GACGAACGCUGGCGGCGUGCCUAAUACAUGCAAGUUGAGCGCUGAAGGUUGGUACUUGUACCAACUGGAUGAGCAGCGCACGGGUGAGUAACGCGUGGGGAAUCUGCCUUUGAGCGGGGGACAACAUUUGGAAACGAAUGCUAAUACCGCAUAAAAACUUUAAACACAAGUUUUAAGUUUGAAAGAUGCAAUUGCAUCACUCAAAGAUGAUCCCGCGUUGUAUUAGCUAGUUGGUGAGGUAAAGGCUCACCAAGGCGAUGAUACAUAGCCGACCUGAGAGGGUGAUCGGCCACAGUGGGACUGAGACACGGCCCAAACUCCUACGGGAGGCAGCAGGAGGGCAUCGUCGGCAAUGGACGAAAGUCUGACCGAGCAACGCCGCGGGAGUGAAGAAGGUUGUCGGAUCGUAAAACUCGGUUGGUAGAGAAGAACGUUGGUGAGAGUGGAAAGCUCAUCAAGUGACGGUAACUACCCAGAAAGGGACGGCUAACUACGUG
This 497-nucleotide ribosomal RNA is filed under the name uncultured bacterium. Its description in RNAcentral is "partial 16S ribosomal RNA". It matches the Rfam family "Bacterial small subunit ribosomal RNA", at positions 28 to 507 of the family's 1533-position model. The record is from RNAcentral.